Long non-coding RNA from Equus asinus (donkey), 1874 nucleotides. The record is from Ensembl. Lineage: Eukaryota; Metazoa; Chordata; Mammalia; Perissodactyla; Equidae.
AAGAGCAGCACCUGUUCUGGGCGGCUGUUUCCCUUUUCCUAAUUAGCACAGAGGAAGCACGGGGAAGGCGCUCCUGAAGACGCAGUUGCCUCCUCCCUGGGAACUCAGUGGAGCAGAGCCCAGCUCCCAGGCCCGAUGUUGGUGUUUCCCAGAAGCCCCUUCGCCAGGACAGGAGGAAGCCCAGAGCAACUCAGCUGCUCAGUUCCUUCCAGCCUUGAGCUGUGACCCACCCUGUACCCUCAUCGCAGGGGCUUUAGACCUCAGACAGUCCUGGGGACCAGAAACUGGAGCAAGAAGAAGGUUCAGGACCAGUGUUCGAGUCCCAGGGACUGUUUUCUUUUCACCCUUACAGCAUACAAACCAGACGGCCGCAUCCAGAAAUGAAGCCAAAGCAGGAAGUGGAGGAGGCAGAGACCGAAGGGCCAGUGGGCUUAUGUGGAAGGAGAGCAGUCCGUAGGCCUGGGUCAGCCAGGCCGCUGGAACUGGAGCUCUGGCCACAGCCAGAGGAAGCGUGAACCCCUCCCCCACCGUCAAUUCACUGCCGCCUCUGGCAAGUCACUAAACCUCUCUGAGCCUCAGUUUCCACAUCUUUAAGCAGAACUUUUAAUACCUGCCUCCCUUGCAUGGCUGCUGAGAAUAAACAAGAUAGUGUAAAUAUCUGAUAAAGUGUGUGGUAUCUGACACAUGAGUACCCAAUAAAUAGUAACUUUUGUAACCGUUGAAAGGCUUCAAAAGAAUGAAUGGAGCCAUCUGUAUGUUGUUGCAUAAAGAUUCACAUUCCAUCAUUGUGUCAGCAGCCUUGACCUCAACAUGCGCCCGAGCUUGCUGAGGGUUUGGAAGGCCUCACAGAGAGAUGCAGGCCGUUUCAAAACUUCACAUGAGGGACACCUACAACAACAGAGAAAGAAAUGCGUGUGUUCUAGGCUUUUACGAGUGUGUCACUAGAUGCUCCUAGAGAACUGGACUGCGUCCAACAUUGAAUGGUUCAAGAUCUGUCUCCUAUGUAGGCCCUGUAUGGGGGUAUUUAUGGAGGUGGCUUUCUGCUGGCAAAGGAAAGUUGAUGGCAAGAUUUGAAAAAAGUAAAAUGUAGGGUUUUGUUUUAAAUAACACAUUAAGAAAAUGAGCUAUGUCUGAGAACAUUCAAGUAUGAUCUGGGAUCUAUGAGUUCACCAGCCAGUGAUUCCCUACUCCGGCUGUGCAUCUGAAUCAACUGGAGAACUCUCAAACAAGAGUGAGUUCCUGAACUCAUCCCCAACCAGUUAAAUCCAUUUGGGGCAGGCCCCAGCAUAUGUUUUAAGAGUUGAGAAUCAUUGCUCCAGGAGGGGCAAUGUGUCCUACCUGUUUCCUGACUCCUCCCAUCAGAGUCGGAGCCCCGAAGGCCUGGUUGGUUUAUGUAAAAUGGCCCCUGCCUGAUGCUCCUGGGAAGAAUGAAAAUGCAGAGUUGAAAUCACACAAAUUGGAAUUUAGGUAAAACAUGAAACGAGCCCAAGAGAGAUCAUCACAGGGGAGCUGGGGGCCUAGAAGGACCCAAUGUGGACUCCUGAAUCUAGCACAGCGGUUCUCAGCCCUGGCUGCCCCCUAGCAUCAUGUGUGGAGCAAUAAAAAUCGCAGCUCCUCGGGGCCGGCCCUGUGGCCGAGUGGCUAAGUUCACACGCUCCACUGCGGCGGCCCAGGGUUUCCCCAGUUCAGAUCCUGGGUGUGGACAUGGCACCUCUCGUCAGGCCAAGCUGUGGCGGCGUCCCACAUAGCAGAACUAGAAGGAUCUACAACUAGAGUACACAACUAUGUACUGGGAGGCUUUGGGGAGAAGAAGAAGAAAAAAAGAAGAUUGGCAGCGAUGUUAGCUCAGGUGCCAAUCUUUAAAAAAAAAAAAA